RNAcentral lists this ribosomal RNA (497 nucleotides) under uncultured bacterium. Its description in RNAcentral is "partial 16S ribosomal RNA". It matches the Rfam family "Bacterial small subunit ribosomal RNA", at positions 28 to 507 of the family's 1533-position model. The record is from RNAcentral.
GAUGAACGCUGGCGGCGUGCCUAAUACAUGCAAGUCGAGCGAACGGACGAGAAGCUUGCUUCUCUGAUGUUAGCGGCGGACGGGUGAGUAACACGUGGAUAACCUACCUAUAAGACUGGGAUAACUUCGGGAAACCGGAGCUAAUACCGGAUAAUAUUUUGAACCGCAUGGUUCAAAAGUGAAAGACGGUCUUGCUGUCACUUAUAGAUGGAUCCGCGCUGCAUUAGCUAGUUGGUAAGGUAACGGCUUACCAAGGCAACGAUGCAUAGCCGACCUGAGAGGGUGAUCGGCCACACUGGAACUGAGACACGGUCCAGACUCCUACGGGAGGCAGCAGUAGGGAAUCUUCCGCAAUGGGCGAAAGCCUGACGGAGCAACGCCGCGUGAGUGAUGAAGGUCUUCGGAUCGUAAAACUCUGUUAUUAGGGAAGAACAUAUGUGUAAGUAACUGUGCACAUCUUGACGGUACCUAAUCAGAAAGUCACGGCUAACUACGUG